AGAGAACCCCGGACCCAAUGCCUGAAACAAAUAAAUAAAUUAUUCUCCUUGUAGCAACUCCCAAUUGAAUUUCGUUUGUACUUGCAUUGUCAAAUUGAAUUCAAUGGCUUCUAGAGUCAAUCACAUAAUCCAACAAUUUGUACUAAAUAUCUACAUUUAAGCUUAGACCCAUAUUUUUUUAAUUUGAAUGUGAUUACUGUGUUAU
Molecule: unclassified non-coding RNA, 205 nt
Filed under: Hevea brasiliensis (rubber tree)
Lineage: Eukaryota; Viridiplantae; Streptophyta; Magnoliopsida; Malpighiales; Euphorbiaceae
Source: RNAcentral